Molecule: ribosomal RNA, 756 nt
Filed under: uncultured bacterium
Lineage: Bacteria
Description: bacterial SSU rRNA
Rfam family: Bacterial small subunit ribosomal RNA
Source: RNAcentral
AGAGUUUGAUCAUGGCUCAGGAUGAACGCUAGCGGCAGGCCUAACACAUGCAAGUCGAGGGGUAACAUAGUUUGCUUGCAAACUGAUGACGACCGGCGCACGGGUGCGGAACGCGUAUGGAACCUGCCCCUGUCAGGGGAAUAGCCCAGGGAAACUUGGAUUAAUGCCCCAUGGUAUCGUUUUAUCGCAUGAUAUUACGAUUAAAGAUUUAUCGGACAGGGAUGGCCAUGCGUACCAUUAGUUAGUUGGUGAGGUAACGGCUUACCAAGGCAGCGAUGGUUAGGGGCCCUGAGAGGGGGAUCCCCCACACUGGUACUGAGACACGGACCAGACUCCUACGGGAGGCAGCAGUGAGGAAUAUUGGACAAUGGGCGGGAGCCUGAUCCAGCCAUGCCGCGUGCAGGAUGACGGCCCUAUGGGUUGUAAACUGCUUUUAUACGGGAAGAAACGCACCUACGUGUAGGUGUCUGACGGUACCGUAAGAAUAAGGACCGGCUAACUCCGUGCCAGCAGCCGCGGUAAUACGGAGGGUCCGAGCGUUAUCCGGAAUCAUUGGGUUUAAAGGGUCCGUAGGCGGGCCUGUAAGUCAGGGGUGAAAGUUUGUGGCUCAACCAUAAAAUUGCCUUUGAUACUGCAGGUCUUGAGUCAUGGUGGGGUUGCCGGAACAUGUGGUGUAGCGGUGAAAUGCAUAGAUAUCACAUAGAACACCGAUCGCGAAGGCAGGUGACCAACCAUGUACUGACGCUGAUGGACGAA